UGCGCAGGCGGGAGAUUAGGUCGGAUGUGAAAACUCCGGGCUCAACCCGGGGCCUGCAUUCGAAACCAAUCUUCUUGAGUAUCGGAGAGGGAAGCGGAACUCCAGGUGUAGCGGUGAAAUGCGUAGAUAUCUGGAGGAACACCGGUGGCGAAGGCGGCUUCCUGGACGAAUACUGACGCUCAUGCACGAAGGCUAGGGGAGCAAACA
This 207-nucleotide ribosomal RNA is filed under the name uncultured bacterium. RNAcentral's name for it is "partial 16S ribosomal RNA". It matches the Rfam family "Bacterial small subunit ribosomal RNA", at positions 568 to 774 of the family's 1533-position model. The record is from RNAcentral.